Molecule: ribosomal RNA, 208 nt
Filed under: uncultured bacterium
Lineage: Bacteria
Description: partial 16S ribosomal RNA
Rfam family: Bacterial small subunit ribosomal RNA
Source: RNAcentral
CGCGUAGGCGGGCAUGUAAGUCAGAUGUGAAAUUUAUGGGCUUAACCCAUAACCUGCAUUUGAAACUACAUGUCUUGAGUGAUGGAGAGGUAAGUGGAAUUCCUAGUGUAGCGGUGGAAUGCGUAGAUAUUAGGAGGAACACCAGUGGCGAAGGCGACUUACUGGACAUUAACUGACGCUGAGGCGCGAAAGCGUGGGGAGCAAACAG